AACAGCAGCUGACAAUCUCAUGAGGCAUGCAGGGUCUCUUCCUCUUUAAAUCACCCGGGUCCAAGGUGCUGGGGUUUCAUUGAAGUGAUCCGAGCCACCCCAAGAGUCUGGUGGAGUGGAUGAAGUAAAACACGCAGUGAUGUCACACGCUGCUUGUCAGUGGACAUGGCCACACAUAUCUCCAGAUGCUUGCUGUGACCGCCUCACCAUACCAGACACACCCCCCUCCAGCUCCAGAUUCCCUUCACCACCAAAAAUUGAACGGUAGGCUCAACAUUUACACACAGGCCUCUCUUAAUUCAUCCUAA
Molecule: long non-coding RNA, 308 nt
Organism: Larimichthys crocea (large yellow croaker)
Lineage: Eukaryota; Metazoa; Chordata; Actinopteri; Sciaenidae
Exons: 3
Source: RefSeq, a predicted model, not a curated record